GCCGACGAGCCCCGGUGGCCCCGAGUGUACGGCGAAGGGGGCGGGGCUAGAGCGGCCUUGACAACCAUUAGAUCGCCUGGGGCCGGGCGGCUCGGAAACUACAUUUCCCAGAGGUCCCCGCGUGCCGCGGGACGGAAGGGGAAGCGCCUCGAGUGCAGUGCGCAGGCGCGAGAGCUUCCCCUGGUUAUAUAAGAGAAGU
Molecule: long non-coding RNA, 199 nt
Filed under: Neogale vison (American mink)
Lineage: Eukaryota; Metazoa; Chordata; Mammalia; Carnivora; Mustelidae
Description: Neovison vison (American mink) ZNFX1 antisense RNA 1 conserved region 1 (ENSNVIG00000007973.1)
Rfam family: ZNFX1 antisense RNA 1 conserved region 1
Source: RNAcentral